CCCCGGUCCUGGCCCACCCCGCCGCUGUCACCGGGGCCCUGGCUUGGGUUGCGGGUGGCGUAAGGAGACGAGGCGCCCGGAGAAGAGUCCUGGGAACCGCAAGGCCGCGCUCCCGCAGGCCCAGCCCUGCCUUUCUCCCACGCGCACGCAUGAUCACAUCCGGGCCCCGCGCACCUGCCUCCAGGACCGCGGGGACCUCCCGGAGACCUCCCUCCCUUUGGCCUGGAGGACCCCUCUCUCCCCGCAGCCUGGGCACAGAAGAGAGCACAGGGGCAUCUGGAGGUCAAGGGUGCUGCAUCUCACUGAAGAGUUCUUCUGUGCCUGGAAGACUUAUUUUCAGUCUGAGAAGAAUGAUUUUUCAAUGGUUCUGUUGAACAUGCAAUUCUCACUGAAAGCACCAGAUUUCCGCGUAGGAGGGACUCGGGGGCAACGAUGCAAUUGGAAGAACUGCACCGAAAAUGACGAUGUCUUCUCAUGCAUAUGAAUUAUCCAAAGUGUAGGAAGAUGCGCCCCCACUGGAGUACGCUGAAGCCUUUAACCCAAGUACAUUUAAUGCUGCGAAGCCCCGAGUGAGGCAAAGGUGUCUUUUUAUUUUAGAAGACAUUUAGGACAGUUCAUGUCACUCUGCACAGAUGCACUGAAAUUGAUUGUGGGGCAAACUAUAAAGAGAGCUUAUGCUCCCCAAAUCUGUUUCCGAGCCAGGUAGGAUGAUGAAUUCUGAGGUGGGACUGAGGGGGAACGGUGGCAGCUCUCUCCCCUGCACGCACCGGCCAACUACUUCCCCGUUUGGACAUUGGCGUGACACCCUCCUUCCCUGUUCAUCUGUGAAAAUGUGCAGCGUUUUCAUUUAAAACCUCCUGCUCCAACAUGGGGCCUUCUGCAGACCGCAGGGACCCCCAACAAUUACUUGUUGGAAGAACAAAUGAAGCAUAAAGCAUGAUACUUUAUUUUAAACAUACAGGUGGCACAAAUUUAUUUCCAAAGAUUUAAGCACCUGAUGACUUCUCCUUAGAGAAAAAGCAAUAAAAGGAGCCUCUUCUGUCACAAAUUUCCACUUAGCAUGGUUUGUGCAGAGGCAGAAUUUCAGGCUUUUACCACUGAGCUCUGGACAUGAAGCAAAGCUAACACUAGAGGGUGCUAUAGAUUAGGAAAUCCAGGGACCAUGGGCGCCGGAGCGCGUUCAAGACGCUGCCCUCCCGAUUGUAACCUAACAAACUGAGCGUGUCACUUUGCCAGAAUUUACCCCUUCACCAUUUCUGCUAUGAUGAAAUUAUCCAGAUAUGUUUAAUUUGAAAUUUUAACUUAGUCUGUGAUUAUGUGGAAUUUCAACACUGGCUGUGGCCCAGUGCAGUGGCUCACUCACACCUGUAAUCCCAGUGCUUUGGGAGGCCAAGUCUGGUGGAUAAUUUGUGGUCAGGAGUUCGAAACCAGCCUGGCCAACAUGGUGAAACCCUGUCUCUCCUAAAAAUACAGAAAUUAGCCUGGUGCCUGUAAUCCCAGCUACUCGGGAGGCUGAGGCAGGAGAAUUGCUUGAACCCUCAGGAGGCAGAGGUUGCAGUGAGCCGAGAUCACGCCACUGCACUCCAGUCCUGUCUAAAAAAAAAAAAAAAAAAAAAAAGGACUGAGCCCAGGUCUGUAGGAUAGACACUUUGUGUUUGUAUCUUAAGUACUUUGCGAUCUCACCCUUACAAACCUGAUACUAAAUUCCACUUACCUACUUCAGUCCUUCUCUGAGGGAAGGUGGAGUUUGGAGGCAAUUUUAGGAAGCAGGAUGAGGAAACAGGGAAGGUGACACAGUGAAGGACAAGCCAACACAAGGGUGGAUUACCAAGGCUGGUCCCCUCUACAGGCACCCAGGGCUCGGUCCCACGCGGACUGCUGAGUAGACAGAAGACCUUUCAGAAUCUUCUGCCUCUCCCCCAUUUGCUGAGAGUUCCCUGGGAACGGUAACCCCCGUACCUUCGGGCUGAACAUAUGUUUGCAUGCUGAAUGGGCUCUUUCUGCCAUCCCAUGCCACAGCAUUCAGGAAGCCCUGGGGCCAAAGCAAACAGCAUGCUUGAGGCAAGGUGCUGUGAGGCCCAAAUGAGCUGAAGCUUGCACAAAACUGCUCACCACUGCCAUAGCUGAAUCAGCGGAGGCCAGGAGGAUGCGAGGCGGUGCCCGUGAUUGUCUGAUCAUCUCCCUCUUGGACCGCUGAGACUCAGGCAUGCCCUGCAUCAAAUCCAACCUGUCACCAGGUCUUCAAGGGGGAGGCCUGCGGAAAUCCUACUGUGAAUGAAACUACAGUUGCUAUUCAUCGUCUCCCUCCUGCACCUACCACUCCAGAUGUCCCUCACUCUUGGCCAGCACUUUGGCUUGUUUAAGUUGUGUGCCAGUUCCAGGAACAAAGUCACUCACUGUCCUGUGGGUAGUCUCCGAGUCUCUGCGAGGACCCACUGCACGGCAGGAGCUAGUCUCAGACUGAGGUGAGUUCUCGGCAGCAGAAGGCACCACCGCACUCCCAAGGGCUAAAGGUUUACCCUGCACCUCUCCUACUGAAGCUUGCAGAGGGUUGGCAUGGCAGCCUUCUUCAUCAUAGGAGACUCUAAGACUGCUACUUUUGGCUCCUCUGGGUUGUGCAGCUUGAGUGGAAGAGCAGAUCCUCUCACAGCCUAGACCUCCUGGCCAGCCGUUUCUUGCCCUAGACUCCACUCCGAGUGGCAGUCUCCCAAGCUGUCUAAUAGGCGUAUGGGAGAAGUAUCAGCAAGUAUGCUACUUCUAAUGUCCCAGGUGGUGCACCCAGCACUGUGCCUCUUCCCUAGUGCAGCUGAAGGAAAGCUGCCACUGCCUGUGCCUUCCUUUACAAGGGUUGUCCUGGCAUGUGUCAGACCACUGGGUCCCCUAACAACCUUGCCAAUGUGCCAGUCCUCUGAAUGUUUCUGGGCUUUAGCCCCUGCCCUUGGCUUGCACGUGUCUUCUUCCUAGGACAUCCGGGGUGCUUGUGUCAUAUGCUGGUAGCAUAAUGUCAUCAACAGUGCACCAGUGUGCUGUGCAAACUAUCCCGAGACAGCCUGUAUGCAUGCAAAGUAUGCUCAAAAGUACCCAAGGCCGAGGCGUGGCAGCUCAUGCCUAUAAUUCCAGCACUUUGGGAGGCUGAGACUGGUGGAUCACUUAAGCCUAGGAGUUUGAGACUAGCCUGAGCAAAAUAGUGAGACCCUAUCUCAACUGAAAACAAAAAAAGAAAAAGAAAAAGAAAUUAGCUAGGUGUGGUGAUAUGCGCCUGUGGUCCCAGCUACUGGGAGGCUGAGGUGGGAGAAUUCAUUGAGCCCUGGAGGCUGAGGCUACAGUAAGCUGUGACUGCACUAUUGCACUCCAGCCUGGAUGACACAGCAAGACUCUGUCUCAAAAUAAAUAAAUUUAUUUAUUAAUACCACAUCAAUCGGUAUUUCCCGAUUUUCAUAAUUGAACUGUGGUUGUAUAAGAGAAUGCCCGUGGCCAGGCGCAGUAGUCCCUGCUACUUGGGGGUUGAGACAGGCGAAACCCCGUCUCCACUAAUAAUAUAAAAAUUAGCAGGUCAUGGUGGCACAUGCCUGUAAUUCCAGUACUCAGGAGGCUGAGGCAGGAGAAUCGCUUGAACCUGGGAGGUGGAGGUUGCAGUGAACCAAGUUUGUGCCACUGCACUCCAGCCUGGACAAUAGUGUGAGACUCCGUCUCAAAUAAAAAUAAAAAUAAAAGAAGUUGCCUGGCUUAGUUGUGCUUACUGGACUCAGAGCCCCACAUGGAGUCUGCUGACCUGUCUUGGGAUUGAAGGGUGAUAGGUGAGAAGGAUGGAGAAUUUGUAAAGGGCCGGCAGUCUCCCUGAUCUGUCUCUUCUAAUUUUGUAGUCGGACUCCUCCUAUUUGGUUCCUGGGCGACCUUCAGUUCUUGAAUUUUAGGGUUCCAAACAACAAGUGUUAAGUGAAGUUUGGGGCCUUUUAAAAGGUGUCAGUGCUUGAAAUUUGAG
RNAcentral lists this long non-coding RNA (3982 nucleotides) under Homo sapiens (human). Its description in RNAcentral is "HSALNT0258146". The record is from RNAcentral. Lineage: Eukaryota; Metazoa; Chordata; Mammalia; Primates; Hominidae.